This 480-nucleotide unclassified non-coding RNA is filed under the name Hevea brasiliensis (rubber tree). Lineage: Eukaryota; Viridiplantae; Streptophyta; Magnoliopsida; Malpighiales; Euphorbiaceae. The record is from RNAcentral.
CCAAUUCAGAAAAGCUUCAAAUUCAAAGCUUUCUGUCUUAUCCUCUUCUGCUUUCGGAGUAACAAAAAGGGUCUCUUCCUCUGUUCGUGCUAUGGGUUCCUCUGCUUCUUCACAGAGACCAGAUAACAUUCAAGAGGCAGGAAAGGUUGAUUAUGCUUCUGUAAGUGAUGAUGAAUGGAAAAAGAGGCUUACAGUUGAGCAAUUUCACAUAACACGUCAAAAGGGAACCGAAAGGGCUUUCACUGGGGAAUACUGGAACACUAAAACCCCUGGAACUUACCACUGCAUAUGUUGUGAUACACCUCUAUUUGAGUCAUCCACUAAAUUUGACAGUGGAACGGGUUGGCCAUCUUACUAUCAGCCAAUAGGAAGCAAUGUGAAAUCAAAGUUAGACUUGUCAAUUAUUUUCAUGCCUCGUCAAGAAGUUCUUUGUGCAGCUUGUGAUGCUCAUUUAGGCCAUGUCUUUGACGAUGGUCCGGC